ACUUUCAAGGCAGGGUUAGAUUCCCUACCGGCGGUAUAGUCCGCAAGCCACAUGGUUGAACCGGUGUGAUUCCGGUACCGACGGUAUAGUCCGGAUGAGAGAAAGG
Molecule: non-coding RNA, 106 nt
Filed under: bovine gut metagenome
Also listed under: 1 other name
Description: FMN riboswitch (RFN element)
Rfam family: FMN riboswitch aptamer (RFN element)
About the family: The RFN element is a highly conserved domain that is found frequently in the 5'-untranslated regions of prokaryotic mRNAs that encode for flavin mononucleotide (FMN) biosynthesis and transport proteins. This element is a metabolite-dependent riboswitch that directly binds FMN in the absence of proteins.
Source: RNAcentral